UACGUAGGGUGCAAGCGUUAAUCGGAAUUACUGGGCGUAAAGCGUGCGCAGGUGGCCGCGCAUGUCGAGUGUGAAAUCCCCGGGCUUAACUUGGGAAUUGCGCUCGAAACUACGUGGCUCGAGUGUGGCAGAGGAAGGUGGAAUUCCACGUGUAGCGGUGAAAUGCGUAGAGAUGUGGAGGAACACCGAUGGCGAAGGCAGCCUUCUGGGCCAACACUGACGCUCAUGCACGAAAGCGUGGGGAGCAAACAGG
RNAcentral lists this ribosomal RNA (253 nucleotides) under uncultured bacterium. Its description in RNAcentral is "partial 16S ribosomal RNA". It matches the Rfam family "Bacterial small subunit ribosomal RNA", at positions 524 to 776 of the family's 1533-position model. The record is from RNAcentral.